AUGGCUCAUUUGAAUUCUGCUUUACUUCUCACUCUCCUUUUCUUGAUCAUAUAUUCCUUACCGUCUUCUAUAGAUGCUCGAAAGAUUCUCAAAAUGGAGACACAAGAGCUGCCUUCUAUAAAGGACACCCUACCUUUAGAUGAUGUUUUUAAUAAUCUCAAUAUAUAUAGAAAUGGAAGACUCGUUGCUCAUCUUGCUAACAAUGGAAGAGUUCUAGUAUCUUCUGUUCCUAGUCCAGGUGCUGGACACUAG
Molecule: long non-coding RNA, 252 nt
Filed under: Vicia faba (fava bean)
Lineage: Eukaryota; Viridiplantae; Streptophyta; Magnoliopsida; Fabales; Fabaceae
Source: RNAcentral